GCCUACCAGGUGAAAGAGGCCUUCCUGGGCCACCUGGACCCCCAGGGCCUUUCUCCAUCAGGGGAGAUGUUUUCACUCUAACGGCUAAACAACAUGCCCAGUAUGAAGAUAGUGACUUAGCUGCCUAUCGUGACCUGCAGGCUUUUCUUGGUCCUCCUGGGCCCUCCGGCCCUCCUGGUCCACCAGGGCCUGCCGGACCACCUGGACACCCAGGUGCACCAGGGAAAAAUG
This is a long non-coding RNA of Sinocyclocheilus rhinocerous, 231 nucleotides long. RefSeq lists it as uncharacterized. The record is from RefSeq and is a predicted model, not a curated record. NCBI's taxonomy places the organism in Eukaryota, Metazoa, Chordata, Actinopteri, Cypriniformes, Cyprinidae. The transcript has 3 exons.